GCCCGGCUCUCCUCCCGGGUGGGGGCGCUGCCGCCGGCGGUCACAGGCGGGGCCCGCGUAUCACUACAACGACACAACGGGCGGGCCGCCCGCUGAAAGGCACAAAGCACUCUGGGAUAGCGGCUGGCGGACUGACCUCCAGGAGCCGCCCGACCCUGUGCGGUGCCCUGCCUGCGGGUCGCGCCGCGGAAUCCCGGUAAGUGUCUCGCCGCAGCUGGGGUGGGGCAGUGACUGUUACCGCGGCGCGGGAAAAGCUGAGGAGCUGCCAAGGCAGACGGUGCCUCCCUCCAGCUGAUGACAGCGCCGGAUCCCCCCGGUCCCGCCCCCUUGGCUCUGGGCGGAUGGUCAUUGAUUAUGCAGCGUUCCUCUGUAAAAUGUUUCCUGGAAGAUGAGCACUGCCGGCUAGGUCAGAGAAUGUAAACACACCGCCAGUCCCCCCCCCCCGCCCCCCCUUUCCGGCCAGCCUACAGUACAGCCAGCACUUAAAAGCCACGUUAAUGGUGCGCUGUGCUCUGGAGGCAGCCACCUGGCUGAGGAACAAGAGCAAGAGAAGCUUGUGAAAAUCAGCGUCACAGAACAAUACGGUUAGACAGGACUGUAAGGGUCAUAUGGUCUAAUCCCAGCCACUGCCAAGAAAUGCUGUAUCAUUUCCAAGGGAAUGGACACCCACGUAUCCUUGAUCCACUGGGCAACCUGAUUGAUUUUGGGCUUCAUAAGAUUCCUGCCUUUUGUCAACUUCACCAUACAGCAUGCAGACGAAUUCCAGUUCUAGUGACAAUGUACCCAUUUUGUCGACAUUCAACAACCUAAUUACUGAGAUCUUUCUCCAGCUCAGCAAAUGAAGCACACUUCAUUGGAUGUUUUUUCUUGCUUCUUGGCAUGUCUUUUAGUGUUUUAUUUUUUCGUCAUUCUCUUACUUGCUUCUCAUGAGCAGCGGUGUAAUUAUUGUUUGCUUCUGCAUAUUCAACAACUAAGAUUGAACGCUGUGUGAUAAGCAGACCAUUUUCUUUUGAUUUCACUGUUCAUUUUAAAUACUAGUAUGAAAACAGAUUAUUAUAGUUAUAGAUUUUGUAGGACUUUACAUAGGAAUUUCACCUGCUUUAUCACUGUCAAGUUAUUCUUUUUUUUUAAUUUCAAAGCAGCCCUGUAGAUUGGCAUGUCUGUGGCGAUAACAGGCUAUUUCAAUUUUAUUAGCAAUUC
Molecule: long non-coding RNA, 1200 nt
Organism: Gopherus flavomarginatus (Mexican gopher tortoise)
Lineage: Eukaryota; Metazoa; Chordata; Testudines; Testudinidae
Exons: 3
Source: RefSeq, a predicted model, not a curated record